This 870-nucleotide ribosomal RNA is filed under the name uncultured bacterium. RNAcentral's name for it is "bacterial SSU rRNA". It matches the Rfam family "Bacterial small subunit ribosomal RNA", at positions 1 to 871 of the family's 1533-position model. The record is from RNAcentral.
GGCUUAGAGUUUGAUCAUGGCUCAGGACGAACGCUGGCGGCGUGCUUAACACAUGCAAGUCGAACGGAGCACCCUUGACUGAGGUUUCGGCCAAAUGAUAGGAAUGCUUAGUGGCGGACUGGUGAGUGACGCGUGAGGAACCUGCCUUCCAGAGGGGGACAACAGUUGGAAACGACUGCUAAUACCGCAUGACGCAUGACCGGGGCAUCCCGGACAUGCCAAAGAUUUAUCGCUGGAAGAUGGCCUCGCGUCUGAUUAGCUAGAUGGUGGGGUAACGGCCCACCAUGGCGACGAUCAGUAGCCGGACUGAGAGGUUGACCGGCCACAUUGGGACUGAGAUACGGCCCAGACUCCUACGGGAGGCAGCAGUGGGGAAUAUUGGGCAAUGGGCGCAAGCCUGACCCAGCAACGCCGCGUGAAGGAAGAAGGCUUUCGGGUUGUAAACUUCUUUUGUCAGGGAACAGUAGAAGAGGGUACCUGACGAAUAAGCUCCGGCUAACUACGUGCCAGCAGCCGCGGUAAUACGUAGGGAGCGAGCGUUGUCCGGAUUUACUGGGUGUAAAGGGCGUGCAGCCGGGCUGGUAAGUCAGAUGUGAAAUGCGUGGGCUCAACCCACGAACUGCAUUUGAAACUGCUGGUCUUGAGUACCGGAGAGGUUAUCGGAAUUCCUUGUGUAGCGGUGAAAUGCGUAGAUAUAAGGAAGAACACCAGUGGCGAAGGCGGACAACUGGACGGCAACUGACGGUGAGGCGCGAAAGCGUGGGGAGCAAACAGGAUUAGAUACCCUGGUAGUCCACGCUGUAAACGAUGGAUACUAGGUGUGCGGGGACUGACCCCCUGCGUGCCGCAGUUAACACAAUAGGUAUCCCA